GCAAUAGUGGCUUACGUGGGCGGUCGCAUCACCUCGAAAGGAGGUGAUGCUAUGGAGACGUUUCAGGCUCUUCAAUUAAUGUUCCUGUUCGGAAUGUUUAUUCUAGCGCUUCUAACGUUUAUCCAGAAAAUGAAAUAGAUCGCCCACCCCACAAAGGUUAAAAUGCGAUCUAUUUCGUAUAACUUUGUAAAAGCCGACCGCCUAUAGUGCGGCUAUUGCCGACCGUAGACGUUCACAGCGUCUGCG
RNAcentral lists this small RNA (246 nucleotides) under Paenibacillus larvae subsp. larvae. RNAcentral's name for it is "BsrG". It matches the Rfam family "BsrG". Rfam says of the family: bsrE, bsrG and bsrH pair through intermolecular interactions with antisense sRNAs. The record is from RNAcentral. Lineage: Bacteria; Bacillati; Bacillota; Bacilli; Caryophanales; Paenibacillaceae.